Molecule: long non-coding RNA, 690 nt
Filed under: Ananas comosus (pineapple)
Lineage: Eukaryota; Viridiplantae; Streptophyta; Magnoliopsida; Poales; Bromeliaceae
Description: long non-coding RNA (ACOM_LNC001324)
Source: RNAcentral
GGUUGGGGGUUAAGGGGUGGAAUAACUCCUUAACCCCCAAUUUAUACCCAAACACCAUUCUUAAGGGGUGGGGUUAGUAAACCCCACCCCAAACCGGAUUAGUGGGGUUUACUAACCUCACUCCCCCUCCCAACUUUAACCUCGCACGCAUCCCGAGCCCUCACCUUUUUCUUUUUUAUCAAUCAUUAACCCCACUCCCCCUCCCAACUUUAACCCCGCAUGCAUCCCGAGCGCUCACAUUUUUCUUCUUUAUCAAUCAUUAACCCCACUCCCCCUCCCAACUUUAACCCCGCACGCAUCCCGAGCCCUCACCUUUUUCUUCUUUAUCAAUCAUUAUUUUUUUAUCCCACCUACUCCAACCAAACACUUUUUUUCACUAUCCUAGACUAACUCCAACCUCCAACCAAACACAAAAAAAUUUUAAUCCCACUUUAACCCUGAACUUAACCCUAUCCCUGGUAUAGCUACUUUUUCCUUAACCCCGAACCAAACAGAAGCUUUAGGUAUUUGAAGGUAUAUAUAUAUAUAUAUAUAUAUAUAUAUAUAUGAUGUUUUUAACUUUGUAGGGUAUUUAUGAUAUUUAUAUAUUUGAGAGAGCAAGUAAUGAAAUAAUUGGCCCUAUUUUUAAAUUGAGCAAUACUAUAGAUACACCAUAAAGUGGGGUGUAUAUCUUACACCCACUCCAUCCGA